AGCCUACUGAAUCCGUGCUGAGAUUUCGUCAGAUACCAACCUACUAGGGCUAACCAGACUUCCAAGAUAAGUGAAGUU
Molecule: microRNA precursor, 78 nt
Filed under: Schistosoma curassoni
Lineage: Eukaryota; Metazoa; Platyhelminthes; Trematoda; Strigeidida; Schistosomatidae
Description: mir-3492 microRNA precursor family
Rfam family: mir-3492 microRNA precursor family
Source: Rfam by way of RNAcentral